AUGGAGACCGGGGGUAGCAAGCGGGAAGGAGACUGCCCCGGGCAGGAAAGGAAGAAGAAAGUGCGCAGGAGAAGCACUGGUCCUGAUUCGGUUGCUGAAACCAUCAAGAAGUGGAAGGAGGAAAACCAGAAGCUCCAGCAAGAGAAUGGAUCCCGGAAAGCACCGGCCAAGGGUUCCAAGAAAGGGUGCAUGGCAGGGAAAGGAGGUCCAGAGAAUUCAAACUGCGCUUACCGCGGUGUGAGGCAGAGGACGUGGGGGAAAUGGGUUGCUGAGAUCCGUGAGCCCAACCGUGGCAAUCGGCUGUGGCUUGGUUCAUUCCCUACCGCAGUCGAAGCUGCACGUGCAUAUGAUGAUGCGGCAAGGGCAAUGUAUGGCGCCAAAGCACGUGUCAACUUCUCAGAGCAGUCCCCGGAUGCCAACUCUGGUUGCACGCUGGCACCUCCAUUGCCGAUGUCUAAUGGGGCAACCGCUGCGUCACAUCCUUCUGAUGGGAAGGAUGAAUCGGAGUCUCCUCCUUCUCUUAUCUCAAAUGCGCCGACAGCUGCGCUGCAUCGGUCUGAUGCUAAGGAUGAGUCUGAGUCUGCAGGGACCGUGGCACGUAAGGUGAAAAAAGAAGUGAGCAAUGAUUUGAGAAGUACCCAUGAGGAGCACAAGACCCUGGAAGUAUCCCAACCAAAAGGGAAGGCUUUACAUAAAGCAGCGAACGUGCAGCCACACAGACUUACUGAUUUGUGCCCACAAAACAGACUGGCUGAAAGCAGCCUUGCAGUGGAAGACAGAGGUCAAUCCACUGGCCAUUCAAGACGAAGUGGUUCAUCAUCGUUAAGAAGUGAGCCAUUUCCAACUAUUUAUUCCGAACAGGUUAAGCAAUGCCCAGUUCAGAAACUUCAGAGACUGCCAGAUGGGUGCCAUCCUGAUUUUGACAAUGACCAUUUAUAUUGUGUCAACAAGCUCCUGGAGUCCUGGUCUAAAUCUCACGGCUCUGUUCUUGUUGAUGAUAAGGAACAUAUAUUAAAGACCAUCUUAUUCACAAUGGUUGUGUUAGCUGAUGCUCGCCAACCUUUUCUGAUUGUCACUACUACCGCUUCUCUCUCCUUAUGGGAGGUUCAGUUCAAUAAAUUAGCACCACAUAUCAAUGUUGUUGUGCAUGAUGGGCGGAAAGACAUGCUCAAGUCGAUUCAAGCUCAGCAGUUCUACGAGAACGGAAGCCACAUAACGUCACAAGUUCUCUUAUCCCAUCCUGAGGCUAUCUUAGAGGACAUUGAGCCUAUUGCGCGUAUUGGUUGGGAGGCAAUCAUAGUUGAUUAUUAUCAACACUUGGCUCUAAAAUAUCUGGAACAGCUGAAGCAACUUUGUACUGGUUUUAGAGUGUUGCUUGUGAGCUCCCCAAUUGAGGAUAUCCCUGAGUACAUGAACAUGCUAGCUUUCCUUAAAUCGGGACAGAAAGAUAAUAGCGGCUAUGUUGACACUGCUGAUGCCCUUGAGAUGUUAAAAAGAAGAUUUGCACAUCAUAUUGCAUAUGAGCGCAAAGCAGAUUCUUCAAAAUUUCUAGAGCACUGGGUUCCUGCUUACAUUUCACAAGUGCAGCUAGGUGUCUAUUGUUCCAUUCUGCUUUCAAAUUCAUCUGUCCUCCAGUCUAAGAAGAAAGCUAAUAGUGUUGAAGCUCUUCGGGACAUUCUCUUGUCUCUCUCAGAGUGCUGUAAUCACCCUUACCUCCGUGAAUGUCUGGAAGCUUCACCUGUCAACAAUCCCGAUAUGACCGAAACAGUAGAUAUUGGAGUGCACGCAAGCGGCAAGCUACUACUUCUUGACAAAAUGCUUAAAGAGAUCAGCAACAGGAGGUUGAGAGUCAUUGUUCUUUUUCAGUCUGGUGGAGCAGGUGCAAACCCAAUGGGUGACAUUCUGGAAGGUGUUGUGUGUCACAGAUUUGGCCCCGAGUCUUAUGAACGUGUCAAAUGUGGUGCGGUGAUGUCAAGUAAACAGGCGGCAAUUGAUAUGUUCAAUGACAAGACCAAGGGAAGAUUUGUUUUACUGAUUGAAAGUCGUGCAUGCCUCCCAAGCAUUAAGCUACUAUCAGUUGAUGCAGUCAUCAUAUAUAGCAGCGACUGGAACCCAUCUAAUGACCUGAAAGCUCUUCAAAGAAUCAACAUAGAGUCACAACUUAAGUAUGUGAGCAUUUUCCGAUUGUAUACUCCUUUCACAGUGGAGGAGAACAACUUUCUGCUUGCAAAGCAGGGCAGGCUUAUUGAUAGCAACAUCCAGGAUGUAAUGCACAGUUCAAGCCAUUCCUUGCUCAGUUGGGGUGCACAAUUUCUAUUCACCAGAUUUGAUGAGCUUCUGCAAGAUAGGUAUUCAAGUAAGCAUUCUGAAAGGGGCACCAAUUUUAUGGAUGAAGUGAUUUUAGAGUUCUUAACAAAAUUACCCACAAAUACAGAAGACAGCUCCAAAAUAAACAGUGUGUACAUAUCGAAAGCUAAUAUGAGUGGGGAGUUUUAUUCAAGAAGCAUUACUGUAAUUGGUGAAAAGGAGGGAAUGUCUAUGCUGGAUGGGGAUCCAUCUGUAUUUUGGUUAGAUUUACUGGAUGGAAAAUCUCCUUGUUGGAGCUAUAUAUCUGAGCUAACACAAUCAAUCAAUAGAAUGCUACAGAACAUAGAAGAACCAGCCCAAGUUGCUGCUGAAGAAACUGAUGAAGCUACCAAUGUGUCAGUCACACAGCAAAGAGAAUGUCAUGUGUCUGUCACACAGCAAAGAGAAUGCCAUGUGUCAGUUGAUGUAUUUCCCAACAUGGCUGUGGAGAGAAGAAUUGAUUUAGUGGAUGAUGUUUUCCCUUUUGGAGAAAAUAAUAUCCUUCAUAAACAACAAGCUGAGAUAUCAAAUUUAGUGACGCACUCACAGAAUAAACAAAUCCUGAGAAUUGGAGCAACUCAGAUAUGUGGAUCGAGCAUGCAUAUGCAACAAUUGAGAAAUCUGCCUGCCCAACAAAGUUUAGCAACCUUGCCCCAUCCACCUGCAGAAGCAGAGCCAGCAGGUAUUCCUGGCAUGGAGGCCAUGACAUGUUUACAGUCAAUGCAGUAUCAACCUACAGAGGCAGAAUGGGGAGGUAUACUGGGCGCAUUAGCAGCCCACGGUUCGCAGCCUGAAAUGCAACCAUCAACCUCAAUGCAGGAUGUUUUAUUUGAAAAGACUGAUCUGUCUGGCAUGCCUUUGCUAGGAAGUAUGAAUGCUCGUCAAAGUGUAGAACCUUCAUGGGAUCUGCACGCAGGAGAAGAACCAGCAUGCACUUUGGGCAUGGUGACAACUGAUAAGCUGCAGUCUGAAAUACAACAAUCAGCCACAGUACAUGAUCGGCCUGCAGAAGCAGAAGGAACAAGUACAUUGGGCACCAGGGCACUUCAGAAUUUGCACCCUGAAAUGCAAUCAUCAACCGCAAUGCAUCAUGUCCCUCUUGAAAGAGCACACUCUGAAGGCAGGAGCCAAACAGGAUUUCAGCCAAAUACAUCACCUGGUCCUGAGCAGCUCAGCCAACUCCUUUUUUUCGAGGAAGAGCUCAACCAAGUCCUAUCUGCUAGUGACCAGCCACUGGAAGAUAUGUCGGAAAUGUACAAACAUCACAUCAAUUUGCUUAGAGAAGCCCAUGAACAGAAGAAAUCACAACUUCAAAUAGAGUGUUACCGAGAAAUAGAAAAGGUGAACAGAAAGUAUUACUCAUUACUCCAAAAAGAAGAUCCCACUUUACUUCACAGCCAGAUGGGACUUGUUGAUAGCUACAAGGAAGCUUCUGUAAACAAAUCACCAGCUCAAGAUUUUCUAGGGGAAGUUGCACCAUCAUCUGCAGCUCAAGGGACAUCUGAGAGGCCUGCAAUGGUGCUGCCACCUAAGUCUUCACCAGCUCAAACCACAGCAUCACCAGGUGCCCCGCCAUACGACCACCAGUGA
RNAcentral lists this ribosomal RNA (3936 nucleotides) under Triticum aestivum (bread wheat). RNAcentral describes it as "partial small subunit ribosomal RNA". Lineage: Eukaryota; Viridiplantae; Streptophyta; Magnoliopsida; Poales; Poaceae. The record is from RNAcentral.